AAAAACUUAGGUUAACUUAAACCAAGGGCCUUCAAAGCCCUAAACAAGGACACUACUGCCUUAGUUUUUG
Molecule: transfer RNA, 70 nt
Filed under: Anolis utilensis
Lineage: Eukaryota; Metazoa; Chordata; Lepidosauria; Squamata; Anolidae
Description: tRNA-Trp
Source: RNAcentral